Molecule: long non-coding RNA, 1754 nt
Filed under: Paramuricea clavata
Lineage: Eukaryota; Metazoa; Cnidaria; Anthozoa; Malacalcyonacea; Plexauridae
Source: RNAcentral
AUUCUGUGACGAUGUCCUUAACCCCCCUGGUUUUUGGGCAAAUAUUACGAUAUUAUUAGAUAUAAAGUUUUCUCUCGAGUUUUCUGUUGUUUUUGAGCAAAAAUCUUAAUAUUUCCCUCGAACAUUACUUGUUUUACAACGCGGAGCAAGGGUGCGCGGGUUUGCUUCGUUUGUGGAUGCAGCAUUUCACCACAAAGACUACAAAGAAAGACUAAUUCUUUCAGGUAAGAUUCACGAAACUUUUUUAUAACUUUCUAGACGGCUAGAGUCACUAUAGACCCUUCAUAUUAUGUCAAAAACUCAUCAUCCUAAUAUAUACAGCGAAUAUUUCAAUAGGGGACAUAAAAGUAUUGUUAAUGAUUAAACAUUGUGUACAUGAAAUUGUUGUUUUGUCUCAGCAAUGGCCUUUGUGGUUUUAUUGCCAGACUGCCAGUUUUUAAUUUUAUACUAAAAAUUGUGGUUGUUUACAUGUUCGUAUAUUUUAAAACGUUUAUUAAAUAUGGUGUGAAAUUUAUAUACUUGCCCAUCACAGUGCAGAAUUAGUGUAUAUAGAUAAGCACAAGACCAGAGAGAGUUGAGCCGUAGAGGAGGCCCACCUACAUCUGACAAUGCAUGUGCCCUAGUGUCCUGAUGAGCCCUAAAGACAGUCUUUAUUAUUUUACUCUGUCUGUCUACAGACGAUUUUAAGGGGAUUGUGAUUGUUCCCUGCUGCCACGCAGUGGGUUAAUUACACUAUCUGCAAAUGAGCAGCCCGAGAUAUAUAGUCAGCCCAUUAAGCUGCAAUGAACCCUGGCUACUUUCUUAUUUUACUCAAUCUGUGAGAUUAAAUCCAGAUGUUCACUCAUAAUUUUAAUAAAAAUAGAUAUCAUUUUGCCAUUGUUCAGAACUAUAUAAAACUAUAUAGUUUUACACAGUAUGAUGUCAUAGUUACAUGGCAAGAACAAAAAUGUUGCCCACAAGCUGCCGGGAUUUAAGUGAGUCACUGAUACACUAGUCAUGAGGUAAAUUCAGAAUGCUACAACAUUUCUAACAAUUAGGGCGGAUUUUCAUUUAUUUAAAAGGAGGGGUAGAAAAAUUUCUGGUGGGGUGCGAGCAGCACCACUCAGUGAGCUUUGGCAGGGGUUAGGCGUUUGGGUUAAAGCCUUUCGCACAAAAUAGGAGGGUUGAAGCAGAAUUUUUGGUGGAGUUGAACACUUUCUUAGAGGGGUUUAACCCCCCCCCCACCCCAAGUAAAUCCGCCCAUGAUUUCUAACAUUAGGAGUAGUGAUGUCCAAUUGGCCAUGACACAGCCUGUGGGAAAUUAUGAUGAAAUUUGCUCAUAAUAGUUAAGUUUGACAUAUUUUAGCAGUUAGGAAUGUAAUUGCAUUGCUGAAUAUUGAAACAUGACACUUAAUUUUGAAGCUCAGAUCAAUGGUCUUGGUAAAAACAGAUCAUGUAAUUGCACUCUCCCCUUGACUAGUAAAAUUGUCUGGCGUUAGGUAGAUUAAAAUAAUACAGUAAGGCAUAUCAAGACACAUUGCCACUUGUGAAGGGUUAACAUAUGUGUAUAUGAUAUUUUUGUGAUGUAAAGAUGUAUAAUGUAUCAUGAUAAUAAUGUCAUCUUUUAUUUUGCAGAAAUUAUAUGUUUAAUAUACACAAGAGAUGGCACUGAGGCAUCAACAUGCAGAAAAACAUGCAGAACAACAAAAUGAAUUAGUUAAUUAUAAUACCAUGCAUAACAACAUAAAUAAUUAUAUGAUUAUGAUAACUUUAUU